Long non-coding RNA from Neoarius graeffei (lesser salmon catfish), 1112 nucleotides. RefSeq lists it as uncharacterized. NCBI's taxonomy places the organism in Eukaryota, Metazoa, Chordata, Actinopteri, Siluriformes, Ariidae. The record is from RefSeq and is a predicted model, not a curated record. The transcript is spliced from 3 exons.
ACAGCCCUGGAGGUUGUUUGUGAGAAAUGGCCAGACUCCUGUUUACAUUACUAUUUGGUUUCUUUACAUCAUGUCUCUUUGAGAUCGCUUCAAGUGGUCAUUUAUCUGUCCAUCCUGGAGAAAACAUCACCCUGCUCUGUAAUGUCACUAAUCAUUCUGAGAUAUCAUGAUAUCGACUGAGAUCUGAAUAACAGCUGCUGAUAUCUGCUAAACAAGGGAACCUGAAGAAAAACUUUUAUCUCAGUUAUAACGUGGACGAGAGUCACUUUGAUUUCACAGGAAGUGGCAGUUCAGUGAGUUUAGUGAUUACUGGUGUUAGAGAGACAGAUCUGGGAUUUUAUUACUGUGGAGGAAAAAACAGAAUGACGCACACUGAGUUUGGGAAACCCAUCAGGCUGAACAUUACAGGUGAUGAUGAUGAUCUGAUUCAUAAGACUGAUCUUUCAGACACACAGCAGUCUGCACACCCUGUACUCUGUGAGAUUAUUAUUGUAAUCCUAUCGUAUAUGUGUGUGUGUGUGUGUGGGGGGGGGGACUCUGUUCCAGUGAGCAUCAUCUCCACCUCUCUGUACUAUUCCACGCUACAAGGUGAGAGCUAAAAGCUUUUCAGAUCAACGUUCAUACACUUCACACACCUUCCUUUAUUUAUUACACUUCCUGUUGUGCCUGGCCCUGCAGAAGCCCUUAUACACUACUGCAGAAUGAGUGUGUGUAAUGAAAACAUUAGUUAUUGUGAAAGGUGUGAAUGCUGAAACAGUGUUACAUCUGUGUGCUUGACAUUGUUGAUAUUUUUUAAUUCUCUUAAUUUUCGGAUCAGUGUUAUUCCAGUGGGGACUCAAAUUAGAAGGUAGCAGAAAAACACUCAGUGAUAAAAUAAUGAAAUGUAGUUGAUCGAAGUCAACACUGAGAUCAUGACACUAUUAAAGCGGACUGAAAAUACCACAUUAUCAGAUGUUUUUCUCUCUGCAGGAAGUGGACCUGUCUAAUUUGACCUCUGUGAUCUACACAAGUGAUUCCUGACAGCCCAGAAACCAUUUGCAGAAGUUUAGUCCUCUGUAACAUGUAAAACUGAACUGUGCGUAAAGGACAAUAAGAAAUAAAUGUCUGAUGCA